UACGAAGGGUGCAAACGUUGCUCGGAAUCAUUGGGCGUAAAGCGUACGUAGGCGGCCUCGCAAGUCUGAUGUGAAAUCCCUCGGCUCAACCGAGGACGUGCAUCGGAAACUGCGGGGCUUGAGUACUGAAGAGGAUCGCGGAAUUCCCGGUGUAGAGGUGAAAUUCGUAGAUAUCGGGAGGAACACCAGUGGCGAAGGCGGCGAUCUGGGCAGAUACUGACGCUGAGGUGCGAAAGCGUGGGGAGCAAACAGG
Molecule: ribosomal RNA, 253 nt
Filed under: uncultured bacterium
Lineage: Bacteria
Description: partial 16S ribosomal RNA
Rfam family: Bacterial small subunit ribosomal RNA
Source: RNAcentral